ACCCAGUUGACGAGUCCCAAAUAGGAUGAAACAUGCGACCUGGAU
Molecule: non-coding RNA, 45 nt
Filed under: Schistosoma margrebowiei
Lineage: Eukaryota; Metazoa; Platyhelminthes; Trematoda; Strigeidida; Schistosomatidae
Source: RNAcentral